GUGGAGUCGGAGAUCUUCCCAGUGGGUGUACGCAUCUAAACGGGGGCGGUAAUGAGUCCAAAGGUAGCUAAAUUACUGGACCAGUAAUUCUGGUUCAUACAUUAAAAAGUGAAGGGGCUGACGAGUCUUUAACUGUCUCUACACGAAUUCGUUGGAAAUUUAGUUGGAAGUGCAAACGCUUUCGUGGGUUAGAAAGACGAGAAGACCCUAUGAAGUUUUUCUAGCGGUUCCCGGGAUUGGGCCUGACCCUGGCGCAUUCUCCCUGGGCGUAGCUUUUGCUGGGGCAGCAGGAGAGCAGAACUAGCCUCGACCGCUGGUAUAACAAGCUGAUGUGCCGGAGAUCCACUGGAGUAAAGGAGACGAUCAGGAGAAAGAGUUACUCUAGGGAUAACAGCGUAAUUUUGCCUAUUGAGGACGUAUUGUUAGGCAAGGUUGCGACCUCGAUGUUGGCUCUGGGUAUCCGUGGACAAAGGAGGAGGUCCAAAUGGUUGGUUUGUUCGCCCAUUAAAACCC
RNAcentral lists this ribosomal RNA (513 nucleotides) under Spondylus ictericus. RNAcentral describes it as "partial 16S ribosomal RNA". It matches the Rfam family "Bacterial large subunit ribosomal RNA", at positions 1845 to 2596 of the family's 2925-position model. Lineage: Eukaryota; Metazoa; Mollusca; Bivalvia; Pectinida; Spondylidae. The record is from RNAcentral.